UCCCCAUCUGCACUCACUGCUGCACCCUUCUCCCAGCGUGCCUCCAACACCCAGAUCACGCAGGAGAGCCCCGCCUGGGAACUCGGGUCUCUAGUCAAAGAGUUGCGAGAAGUGAUUUCGGAGAACCGCGGACCACACACAGAUAACAGGAGGAGGUCUGCACCGGAGACAGUCCACAGAACCACGCUCAGUAUUGACAAGGCAGAAGAAGUAAAAGCUGGCUCCAGAUUGAGAAGAAAAACCUGCAGCAGCGAGCCACAUUUCCUGAAGGCCGCUGGGCUCAACGGAAAAGCAAUCAACAACAAAUCCUUCAAUGAGAGCCGUGUCAUUUCGAGUCCAGCAACUGCAGCGUGGUACACAUCCUCCCCACAGCUGCUCUCACUGGGCCGCAGGUCACCCGUCCACUCUCUCCUGACCUCUGACCCAAACAGCUGACAGUGACACAACAGACAUGAGGCCGACCCCUCUUACCGGUAAAUUGUUAAUAUUUUGUGCAUCAUAUAUACACAGACUGAGUCAUUUGUAGCUUUUUCUUCAAAAACGGUAUAUUACUAUUAUCACACUGUACAUUAAUGAGAGGGGAGGCUGAACAACAUUCACGCAAAAGUCAAAUUCACUUUAAUACAGUUUAUUAAUAGCAAUGAUAAGACAUUUCACAUGAAAUGUCAUAGCACACAAGUCUGAUGUGUCAGGAUGUAAUGACGCGACAAAGUCCAUUUCAGUAACAGUAAAGUUCCCUGUUAGGCGUGUCCUUUAGCAACUCACAGACCUUUUUCAUAUAACUGUGUAAAUGUUAUUUAAUGAUCAUAAUCUCUGUAAUCCCAUUCCUC
Perca flavescens (yellow perch) is the source of this 830-nucleotide long non-coding RNA. RefSeq lists it as uncharacterized. NCBI's taxonomy places the organism in Eukaryota, Metazoa, Chordata, Actinopteri, Perciformes, Percidae. The transcript has 5 exons. The record is from RefSeq and is a predicted model, not a curated record.